UACGUAGGGGGCAAGCGUUAUCCGGAAUGAUUGGGCGUAAAGCGUCCGCAGGUGGCUAUGUAAGUCUGCUGUUAAAGAGUGAGGCUCAACCUCAUAAGAGCAGUGGAAACUACAUGGCUAGAGUGCGUUCGGGGCAGAGGGAAUUCCUGGUGUAGCGGUGAAAUGCGUAGAUAUCAGGAAGAACACCGGUGGCGAAAGCGCUCUGCUAGGCCGCAACUGACACUGAGGGACGAAAGCUAGGGGAGCGAAUGGG
RNAcentral lists this ribosomal RNA (253 nucleotides) under uncultured bacterium. RNAcentral describes it as "partial 16S ribosomal RNA". It matches the Rfam family "Bacterial small subunit ribosomal RNA", at positions 524 to 776 of the family's 1533-position model. The record is from RNAcentral.